This 537-nucleotide ribosomal RNA is filed under the name uncultured bacterium. Its description in RNAcentral is "bacterial SSU rRNA". It matches the Rfam family "Bacterial small subunit ribosomal RNA", at positions 355 to 896 of the family's 1533-position model. The record is from RNAcentral.
UGGGGAAUCUUGCGCAAUGGGCGAAAGCCUGACGCAGCGACGCCGCGUGGGGGAUGAAGCUUUUCGGAGUGUAAACCCCUUUCGACCGGGACGAAACGCCCGCAAGGGAAUUGACGGUACCGGUAUAAGAAGCCCCGGCUAACUACGUGCCAGCAGCCGCGGUAAGACGUAGGGGGCCAGCGUUGCUCGGAAUAACUGGGCGUAAAGGGUCCGUAGGCGGUGUGGCAAGUUGGGAGUGAAAUCUCUGGGCUUAACCCAGGGGCUGCUUCCAAAACUGCCGUGCUAGAGUGCGAGAGAGGUGAGUGGAAUUGCAGGUGUAGCGGUGAAAUGCGUAGAUAUCUGCAGGAACACCCGUGGCGAAGGCGGCUCACUGGAUCGCAACUGACGCUGAGGGACGAAAGCUAGGGGAGCAAACAGGAUUAGAUACCCUGGUAGUCCUAGCCCUAAACGAUCAGAACUUGGGGUGCAUCCCGUUGGGGGUGCGUCCCGUAGCUAACGCGUUAAGUUCUGCGCCUGGGGAGUACGGUCGCAAGACUG